GAUGAAACCUUCCCAUAAUCUUUCUCUACUGAAUUUUCUGAUUUUCAUUUUCUCAUAUCAUCAAACAUGUCGAAGUCUACCAACCGGUGGAUAGAUCGAGACUCGAAAUCAGUAAGGAUAUUAUGAUUGGUACAACGGUCUGUUGGUUUUAUGAGAUUUAGGGUUUUCAAUAUUUUGGGUUUAGAAAUUGUAAGAAGAUGAAACCCCCAAAAUCAAGAGUUUGCUAUUAUAACCCUUCUUUUGAUUGAAAUUUUAUGAAUAUUUGUUGAUUUGAAAUGAUGAUUUGAGUUCUGAUUUGAAAUAGUUAUCAGACCCCUAAAUCCAGAAUCUUCAUAUAACAGAUGAACUCUCAUAUUCCAGCGCUAGCUCCUCCUACCCUAAAUCAGUUCGUACUAUACGUCAGGAAGCAAAAGAACCAUUUGUCUAAUGAGAUUUACCAUGUCCCAAUACUAUCAAUAUGAUUUAAACAUUGGGUUUGUAUCUAAUUUGUGUCUGCAGGGAAGGACUUUAUUUGGGUAGUCUCCAGAGUGCAGCCUGCACCUAAUCCGCAUCAGUUGCAAGACGCACAUUUACUGCUUGACAAAAUGCCUGAAACACCAGAAUUAUUGGGCCAAAUCCAGAUGCCAGGACGAUAAACAUGGACCCUGCGCAUAAAGUCCAUUUCUUAUCUACUCAAACUGGUUAGUGACAUACAAGUUUAAGAUGCAGCUUAUACAUCUGUUGUACAGAUUAUAUGAUAGGCUUGAAAUAAGAGGGGAAGGCUAAUGAUGGAGGUAGAGGUCGGUGAACAUGCAAAGAAAAAUGAACGGAUGAGAAUGCCUGCAACACAAGGGAUUAGCAUAUUAAUGCUCAUUGACCAAUGAAACAGAGGUGUUUGGACGUGAUGGAAAGGGCUGCGUUCGUGCGAUGGGUGGCGAGGCAUCGAAGACAGAAAUACAUACUUGCUUCUGCAGCUUGUAGGCGAACAAUUACGUAUGGAGAAAUUGAAAAAUCAAGAUCUUCAAACUCAGCUAAAUACUUUAGAGGAAAGAGUUAAUGUUUUUGAGGCAGGAAGGCAGGACAACAAUACUGCUUAAUCAUCCUCGGCUGCUCCACAACAGUAUCUAGUAAUUGGAUGUGUCUUGUCGAAUUUAAAGAAGAAGGCAGUUGCAGUUGGACGUGUUAAAUUCAGACCACCACCAAAUACUGAAAAUUAUGAAGUCCUUAUCGAUGAAAUUGCUGAUAGACAUAUGAAACUGUGUUGGAGAUGGGACAAUUGGACAUAUUGAUCUUGGUGAGACGAUUGAAUGGCUAAAGCAAUACGUAAAUGGUGCACUUGGAUGUUAAAACGUAUUGUUUUAUUUUUUUAUGUUAUGUUGAAAAUGAAGUAACUUUUGUUGUUGAUUCAGAGAUGUUUGGGUUGUUAAUUUGUUAACAGAAACCAAAGUUAAUUUUAAUAGAAUGGGUUGCAGUUGCUU
This is a long non-coding RNA of Papaver somniferum (opium poppy), 1457 nucleotides long. RefSeq lists it as uncharacterized. NCBI's taxonomy places the organism in Eukaryota, Viridiplantae, Streptophyta, Magnoliopsida, Ranunculales, Papaveraceae. The transcript has 5 exons. The record is from RefSeq and is a predicted model, not a curated record.